UCACAGAGACUUUGGAAGAACUGACAUUUUCAUUUGUUGUUUAAGUCACUACAGCAAAAGCGCUAAUUACCGACGGCCUUGUACCGAAGGCCUUAGAGCCGUCGGUAAAGCAUUGGUGAUUUUAAAUACCGAAGGGCCGUAGGCCGUCGGUAAGUUGCUCCAUGAAUUCAGAUAAAAAUUUCAGAUUUCCCUCUCGUCGAAUUACUUCGUCCCCGUGCUGUAAAAACCUAAUAGCGUUUUCUUCCCUCCAAAAGUUGAUUGUGGUUCUUCCCCGGCAAAGCUGCUCUCGAGUUUUUUGUCGGCGAAGGUCCAUUAGGGUCAUUGACGGGAAGGGUGUGGGCCAUUGACGGUGUGGUGAGGAUGGUGGUGUCCUGAGCAGAGGCGAUUGGUACUGUGGUUGGGCGAUUAGGGUUUCGGUUGGGGGAUUCCUGCACUUUCUUUGGCUGCCGUGGUGUAGGGAGGCCAUUGUGGAGGUAGGGUGUCGAGAAUCAUCCCUUUCGUGCAAGAGGUAACUGUUAUUUAUUUAAUCCUUGGUUGAGAUACUUGCAAGAUACCCAUGAUAUGACCACAUGAUUGGGAUAUUAAAAAUUUCAUUUCAUAAACAAAGUGGUGAAGAGAUUGAGGCAAAUAUGUCAUAGGGUUCUCGUGAGGUGAAUGAAAUGGUAGAUAUUUUUUAUUAAAAGGUGCUGAUAGAACUGAUAUUAGAAUUAGAAAGAAAGAGACGAUCUUGAAUUUUGUUGCCUCCCUAAUUCCAGUCCCAACAAUAGUAGUAAGGAUGGAGUCAAGGAAUAGAAAGAAUAGAGCAGUACACAAUAAAAUUACAGGUCAAUAGAGAGAACCUCACUUUCCAAAUAUCAUUCUAUUUUACUUCUCUCCAAAAAGUCCCUUCACUAACUCUUCUAGAACUAGUUAUAAUAGUUCAGAUACAGUCGUUCAGAUACCGCUGUAUUAACUACCUUAAAUUUCCUUCAUUUAUACACUUUAAUGAACCUACUUAAUCUUAGGAAAAUUGUUACUAAUUAUGCUUAACGCUCCUGAAAGUUCGGCAAUCAAGUACCAACAAGUCUUGUAAAGCUAAGAAUGUCGUAAUGAGGAAAUGGGGUUACAAGAAAAAAAAUAAGAUCAUGAAUAAAUGUUAAGAGAAAGUAGGAGCAUAAAGUCAUGAAAGAAAAACUUGGUAGAAUUGCAUUCAUAAUGGUUUGUUUUUGGAAUGUUGCGUUAAUUGCAUGCAGUCAUCCUUAGCC
This 1244-nucleotide long non-coding RNA is filed under the name Vigna radiata. RNAcentral's name for it is "long non-coding RNA (VRAD_LNC013390)". The record is from RNAcentral. Lineage: Eukaryota; Viridiplantae; Streptophyta; Magnoliopsida; Fabales; Fabaceae.